GCCGAGCUUGGUAACGCUUGCUUGUGACCUCUGUGGGGGCUUUAAGGUGAUGGAACAUGGGGCUGGCUUGCAGAGUCGGAUCUGGAGUUGGUCCAAAUCUGGCUUGCCCGUUCCAAGCUAAGGGCUGAGCCGAGGGGCUUGAGUGAAAACUUCCGAGUCUCGUGGUCUCCUAAAGUGGAGGGUACUGCGUGAGGCUGGUUUCACAGAGCAGCGAAGACCUCCCUCUCUUAGCAGUGGAAGGAUAACAGGCUUGAUCCUCUCUAAUCCAACAUGGCUCAGUGAGCUGAUCCUAACUGGACCAUCAUCUUU
This 309-nucleotide signal recognition particle RNA is filed under the name Gossypium hirsutum (cotton). RNAcentral's name for it is "Plant signal recognition particle RNA". It matches the Rfam family "Plant signal recognition particle RNA". The record is from Rfam by way of RNAcentral. Lineage: Eukaryota; Viridiplantae; Streptophyta; Magnoliopsida; Malvales; Malvaceae.